CCGGAAUCGAACAGUAUAGGAGGUCCAGCCUGCCCAGUGACUAUUAGUUUAACGGCCGCGGUAUUCUGACCGUGCAAAGGUAGCGUAAUCACUCGUCCUUUAAAUGGGGUCAAGUAUGAAAGGCUAGACGAGGGCUUAGCUGUCUCCCCUUCCAGGUCAGUGAAAUUGAUCUAUCCGUGCAAAAACCGGGUAUAAGAAUACAAGACGAGAAGACCCUUUGGAGCUUUAGGUACAGGACUUAACCACGUUAAGCAAGUUAAUAAGAACACUAACCCCACUGGGGAUUAAGACCCUACCUUCGGUUGGGGCGACCACGGAGAAAAACAUAACCUCCGAGUGGACCGGGAAACCCCUAGAGCUAAGAGAUCCAUCUCUAGGCCACAGAAUUUCUGACCAGAAAUGAUCCGGUCAUUUGACCGAUCAACGAACCAAGUUACCCUAGGGAUAACAGCGCAAUCCUCUCCCAGAGCCCAUAUCGACGAGGGGGUUUACGACCUCGAUGUUGGAUCAGGACAUCCUAAUGGUGCAGCAGCUAUUAAAGGUUGUUUUUGUGCUACGAUGAUAAAAAAAAAAAAGAUCUGAGUCUG
Molecule: ribosomal RNA, 587 nt
Filed under: Barilius bendelisis (Hamilton's barila)
Lineage: Eukaryota; Metazoa; Chordata; Actinopteri; Cypriniformes; Danionidae
Description: partial large subunit ribosomal RNA
Rfam family: Bacterial large subunit ribosomal RNA
Source: RNAcentral